UUUUUUUUUUUUUUUUUUUUUUCGACCCUGUCCUUCACCUCUACUGCUUAGAUUCAUCCUUUUGGUGUCUGUUUGCACAGGAGCUUGCAGACCUUUUGCACCGGAUAACCCUACACCUGGGGCUGGUUUCAUGGGCUUGUGACCCAAGCAGCCACAUAGGACCCCGUACAUGCUUGGAAGGGCCCUGCAUUGGGUUUAACAGUCUGUCGCCAUCUUAAAAUUCUUCAUAAUGUUUUAACAAGGGGCCUGCAUUUUCAUCUUGCACUGGGUCCCAUGAAUUACUCACACACACCCAAUCCCCCUGCCUGAGGCCAACACUGACCUUCCCAGUCUGGGUCCGUUAUUGCUGGGCCUCCUCAGCACAGACUCUCCCCAGAUCCCAGAGGGCCUUGCCCACUCUUCACUCUCCUUCUCUGCCCCGCCCUGCACUCCUCCCAUGAUCCUCCACUGUCCCCAGCCAGCUCAUCAGCAUCUAUGUCUUACACCCUCCUUUCCUCUGGUUUUGGCAAGGCCAGGAACACGACAGCACCAUGAGCCUGUUUCCAGUCUGGGGUCACUUUGUGCAGACAGGCUUGCUCCCCCAGGCCAGCUGCUGUUCCCCUCCAGAAGCAUGCCUCAUGCAGAGCGGGAAACCUUCAAAGGAGCCAUGCCUUCCUGGUUGCUGCCUUCACAUCCUGGUCCAGUCUGGUGGUGUUUUUGCAGUUUUCCUGUCAGCUUGGGGGGAGAAGUUCAAAGAGACUCUGUCUUCCUUUCUGGCUUCCUUUCCAGACGGAGCAGCUUUCUCUCGGCAGCCCUCCUGUCCCACCACUUUCGAGGAAAUUGGUGUCUUUCCUCCUCCCUCCCUCACCAAAAAAAAAAAAAAAAACCUGCUUGAUUUCUGAGGGUUAUCCUGAAAGUAGGUGUGUGUGUGUGGGGAGAGGGCCCUCUGAAGCAAGAGGCAGGUCAGAGGUCGCCAACACACUGGCUUGGGGGUCUCUCUGCCAACACUCUCCUGUGGAGUUAGAUCCUCGGAGGCUUGGAGAGGGAGAGGCAGGGAAAGAGAGAGCUCCUGGGGCUGGAAAAACACUAGCACCUCUCAUGGAGCACCUGUGUCGCUAGUUCUGAAAGAAGGUGAUGGAUUGUUCAUAACUGGCUUCUCCUGGACAGACUUCCUAGGGGCCCAGGACAAAAGGGAGUCUGCCCCCACCUGCUGCCUUCCUGUGAGUGAAGCUUUGCAGGGAAACUGCUCCCUGAGAAGAACCUUGGAUCCCAGUGGUCUGGGAAGGGCCCAGAAUGUAUAGCAGGCACUCCUGACCCAAACAUGGAGUUUCCCGGUUCUCCCCAGGCACACGUGUCGCUCAGCCCUGUACUUGGCCAUUCUAAUUCCCCCAGAAGACCUAGCAUAAUGCUCAGGGAAGUGUUCAAGCACAAUUAACAUGACGUCUCGCUCCUGCCCUUCCUCUUUCCUCCUCUAAUUAUUAAAACGGGUCAACAAGACCUGGGGGUAGAAGCACCAUGCCUGCUGUUCCCAUGCCAGAUAAAACCAUUCAUCUCAGGAGAGCCUGCCAGGCCCAAGGACGGGUUCAGGGCUCCAAGUCUACUCUUCCAGAUCAGCACGGAAAAUAGCCAGAUGCCAACUGGGCCCUGUCCCCAUAUCUGGGGACAGGACUAAAUAAGUAGGACUGUGAGCAGGCCAGGAGACGACGUGAACAGUAGGCCCAGAGGCAGCAGGAACACCCUCUGAAAAUCUAAAUCCCCAAAGGGUAGAGGGAACUGGUUUCCAGAGAGGCUCCAAAGGAUAAGCCUUGUAGAGAAGGACUCACAUAUCAGGGGAAUAGCUGUUGAGGCUCUGGAGAAAGAGAGAGGCACCGUGGGGCAGGAGAAGGUCACAGGCACAAAUGAGGGGGACUCACUGAAAGUUACUUCUUACCCCCUAAAAGGGCAGAUGAGUAAGCCUGGUCAUUUCCUCUCAGCAAAUCUGUCUAGCAGAAGGGGUAAGAGGUACACAGGGCAGGAAAAUCACACCAUUGAAAUCAAAGUGAUUCACCUUGAGCCAAGUGAGAAGAGGAAGGGAAUGGAGUAUGUGGUGAAGUUUUAACCACCUUCAUCAAUUGUGUGGCCCAGUAGUUCCUGGGACUCUCCUCCCAGGAUUCAUGCCAAUGGACUUGGAGUACUCUCCAUGGCCAGAAGUAGUUAGCUGUGCACAGACAGUGUGCCCUUUCACAGCAUGCAGGUGAUGGCAGGAAGUGCCCACCCAGCCAGGGACCCUAUCCCCCAGUUUGAACCACUUGCUUAAGUGUGCUACCACGUGACUAGUGCUCACUGAUGGAAAAUGAACAGACAUGGUGUGUGUCAUGGCCAAGCUGAUGUGGCUGAGAAGACAUCUUCACCCUCUCUUUCCCUAUCUGCAGUGGCUUUUGCAGGUACAUGCUGCAGUUAGCAGAGUGACAGGCUAGAAGGAGCCUGGAUCCCUGAAUCACCCACCAAAUGCCCACAUUAGACAGCUGUGUGAGUGAGAAAUAAGCUUUUGUGUGUUAAGCCUUUGAGUUUGGGGGGGGAGCUAUAUAAUAUAGCAGUUGGCGUUUCUGAUAUCUCCAACCCAGAUGUUGUACUUACAGGAAUGUUUCCUAAAGGAAUCAUCAGAGAUGCAAAGAUUUAGAGAGCCUAAGAAUGAUGAGCAAAACCUUAAAUGGUCUUAAUCACAGGGCACACUGCAUAGGGCUCUGAAAUGUGGGAAUGGGAAGUGGGCAGCCUAGGAGAGAAAGAUAGACUGGGCAACUGCUCAGGAGUACAAACACAAAUGGUUGUGAUGGGAAUAAGGAAGAACAGCAGUUGAGAAGAAGAGAACUGAUCACAAGGUUGGUGAUUAACAAGUGUGUAAACCCAACAUUUUGGAAGAGGUUGGUGAACAGAUCCCAGCAUGGUUAUACUUUGUUAACUCUGAUCAAGGGUAAUCAGCAUUUUUUCCUAAGAAAUCCUUUGACAUAUGAUGAACUGGCCAAGGUCUCUUUUAUUUUUUAUAUCUAGAUUUCUCCAGCCCAAGGACCCUCGCAUUAGUGUUUUCAUGAAUUUGAAAUCUUUUCUUUCCUUUUCGUCGGUGAUCCUACUCACCAUCCUCUCUGGCCCCAGGCAGUGACGGUAGUAUUGGUAGAGUAAGUACUAGUACUGAAAUUAUGUCUCAAAUAUAAAAUAUUAGUUAUGUCUAGUAUAUGAAAUGUACUAUAUUUGUAUCUAAUGUAUACUUUCAAAUUACUUUUGACAAAUGUUUUCACUAUUUUGCUGAAUCAUAAUCUCUAUUUCAAAAGGUAUCUUCCAGACUGGAGACACUCAUAUAUACUCAUACACAUAUACAGUUGAUUUUCAGAGUUCUGUCACUUCAUUUUUUUGAAAUAGUAAACUCAAAUGUAAGCAGAAAAUCAAAGAAAAAAAAAAAAAAAAGAAAAGGAAAAAUUAUUCCCCCUUGGUAGCUGUGUUAGUCAGGAUAGGCUAGUGUAUGCUGCAGUAAUAAAAUCACUCUGAGAUUCCCAUGGACACAAAAAGUCAUCUUUCUUUCCCGAGCUAUGUGUUCAUCCCACGUUGGCCAGGGACUCUGCUCCACAUAGUCCUCAGGGACCCAGGGUAACAAAGGUUACAGCAUGUGUGGCUGCACUCCCUGGAAUGAGAGGCUGCCUCAACCAGUGGAAGAAGGGGAAGAAAGUUAAAAAAAAAAUAAAGGCUCAUGGGUAUUUUCUGCCCCAGCCUGAAGAUGACACAGCAUUUCUGCUUUUACGUCACUGCUCAGAAGUUGUUACAUGGCCCCCCUAAUAUGCAGGACUAAAUACAGUGUUUAGUGAGCUCCAGUGUCUUUGCCAUAAUUACUAUGUCUUCUCUCAUUCUGUCUGCCAUUUCCUCUCUGGAACUGCCUGUGUUUUCUUAUCUUUACAUAUGGAUGAUAGUCUAACUUUCUGAGAUUGCAUGAGGACAGGGAUAGCAAACAUGUGCCGUCACUUCCUCCUCCCAUGCCCAGCAGACCGUGUUUAUAGAUCGUGGCAGUCUUUUCUGCUACGUUUGUCUAGAUGUAGUAUCCAAAUCCUUCCCAACACAGGUGGCUGCUAAUUUCUCUGUAUCAUCACUAGGAAUGAAACUUACUUGCCAUUCCCUAUGGAAUUUCACUGACCCCUAGGACGCAGAAUUGAUUUCCUUGGCCCCAUCUCCACUCCUUUCUUUGGGGAUGGACAUGAGACCAAUAGGCACUGGAUCAAUUCUGUUAUCGCUACUGUUUACAAGUACCUAAUCUGAGGCCUCCGAUGUUACCAGCAAUUUCAGGCUCUGGUAUUUUCCCUUCCACUUCUACCACUUUGAUCAGGGUAAGAACAAUCAAAGGAAACUUGACUUCCUUCACAGCUAACAUGGGCUAACACAAAGACUGAAAGAAAAGAAAUCUUUAGGGAAAAACAGAAAUGCAAGUCCUUUUGACCCAGAACUCUGAAAUGGAUCAGUACAGACCUCCUUUCCAGAAGAAACUCCUCUUAGACUUUCACAAAUCACUCCCUUAAACCAAGGAAGGGAAUCUUUCUUUCCUGAUAUCAGUGACAUGGAGCAAAGAGAAAAAUCUUUCAUUAAAAAAAAUAAUAAUAAAUUUUAAACAGCCCUUUCCUUAAGAGAUAAAUAAAAUUAGGAUCUCAAUAAGAAAAUUCAGAAUGUGCUUCCCUUUCGGCCAUUAAAUCUCUGCUCACCAUUCUCUGUUUCUUGCAAGCUUUAUCCUGAGUCUUUGCUUUCUCUGGUAAGUGACACUUUAGAAAAUAGAGAAGUUGGGGGCAGGCUGCUGGCUUCCUUAAGGGUUUUUUUUUUCCCCCUCUAAGUAGCUUCCCAAAACUUCUUAAAGUCCUUGUGUUAUACAAAGUGAAGAUUUGUUCUUUUACACCAAUAGUGGAGAAGUGUCUCCGGACAGAAGUUUUCGCUACUGCUGCUGUUUGGAAUUGGCUCAGCAGACGUAAACAGGGUCAUCCAGGGCCAAAGAGGGUGGGUGUUUAGUUUUAAAGCUCUGGGGUUAAGAGUGAAAGCAUGUGACUCCAGCCUGGCCAGAAACAGAGAAGCCUUUGUGUGCUGGGAGCUAGCGAUUGGCAGUCCUGAGGCUAAACACAGGGGGAGCGGGAAGGAGAGCGCUGACACAGGUUUCAAGGGGCUGAUAGGAUACCACUGGAGGGAGCUUAACUCUUUGUGUCAGACUCCUGGGCUUCCACGGGGAGAGCUUCUGUUUGUGGCUCACGGCAGAACAAAGAACUUAAAAAACAAAACAAAACAAAACAAAAAACAUCUAAAUAGCGCUUCCUUGGCUUGCAAAGGAACUCAGGUAUUCCCGUAGCCAGUGUUGAGAAGAGGCAAGCUGAAGCAACUGGAAGCAAGAGCAAUGUCCAAGGGGCAAGUUUUUGUUAGGUUAUAUGAUAGAACUUCCUACUAGUCCUAACAUCUAAACACCGCAGGCUGUUCCUGUGCUCCCCACAACUUCUCCCGCUUUCUGAACGGCUGGGAUGAACAGAGGAGACAACACUGCAGCCUGGCCCACAUCUCCCCAUCAUUGCCCCUCUUACUUCUCCUCCAGAGGGUUGGCACUGCCUGUGGGAAGGUGGUGGGCUGAGUCAGCAGGCUGUGCCUUAAGGCGCUGGCAGCCCACGGCAGCAUCAUUCACCCAGGUGCUGGGGGACCCAUGUUUGCUUGAUGAGCAUGGGCUCUGCUCACGGCCAGCACUGAGUGAGGCAGGUGGCCCUCAGCCUGGACCACCAUCCUACCCUACUCAUAGCCCACCUGCCCCAGUGCCAGCAUACCCUUUCCACGACCCCACCUCUGCCCAGAAAUUGCUGUAUUCAAUCUGACUCAAGUGAGCAUGUUUCCUGAAAGUCUGCAAAAAUCUGACUUCCAGACUUUCGCCAGGAAGGAAAAGGAAACAAGAUUAAUUUUGCCACUUACAGCCUAAACCCAUGGGACUUCUUGGGUGGGGUUCAGAAAUAGAUAUGGCAGAGGAUGGUGUAUUUCGAGGAACAUCACAACAGUACUCAUCCCAUUCCUCCCAUUGUUACUCAUCACACCUACCUUCCACAAAAGUUUCUGAGCAUCUUGCAAGUGUCGGUUCUUUGCUGGACAGUGGGGAUAUAGCAGUGAAUGAGACAGACCAGUUUCUGCCACCAGGAGUCUGUCCAGAAAGGCACAAAGCCAUGCACACACUAAUCAAGGAAAUGCUGAUGGUUGCACCAGGUAAAAAGUGGCUUCCAGUGGUGAGAAGUGGUCCUGGCAGUAUGGCAUUCAUUCUUACAGGUGAAUUUCAGUUUCCCCAGGUGAUGAAAUGUCAAUGUCUCUUCUCUAUAUGUCAGGGGCGUAAUAACCAAAAUUAUGUGUAUGGCAACAGCAACAGCAUAUUGAGGCAGUACGGAGACUUACUGCUCUGGCAAAAGGCUCGUUGACCCCAGGUUUGAUCUACCAGACUCAGGGCUGAUCUACCAGAUUGUGCUCACUGUUUAAAAUAGUACCCAUCCCAAAUAUUCUAAAUUUGGGUUGUGAUGAUGAUUGGUACACUAUAAAUAUAAUAAAAUUCAUUGGAAAAAAAAAAAAGAGUACCCAUCCCACUUGAGAGAGAGAGAGUGUGUGUGUAUGUGUGUGUGCGUGUAUGUGUACAGGACCAGUGACAUUUGUUUCUGGUGCUCAAAGGCACUGGGCAAAUGUAAUGAUGUGUAAGAAACGAGGUUGCUACUGGGCACUGAACCCUCUCUACUUCAAAGAUAGGAUCACUGAGCAGAACCCUGGGCUCACUCAGGUGAAAAGCAAGAACCUUUUAUCAGGGGGCUCAGAGUUCCCAGACCUUGCCCUUAUCAGCUUCUGGGUCUCCCACAGCCACAGGCCGUGGUCUCCUUCACCUUCAGGGUCAGAUUUCUCUGCAAUAGUUCCUUCAGCAUGCUCCUCUGAGACACCUUCAUGAGAAACCCCUUUCAUUCCUGAGUUUAAAGGAAGGCACCCAGACUCACUGCCCUCUUUUUCAAGCUGGAUAAGACAGAAGGGCUACAAAGACAACCCUUGCCUGGGCUGAGGGCCCUGAAAAGACCAGACUGCUGUCACAGCUUCAGAUCCCCCUGUGUGCUGAUGGAGAAGUGGGCAGCUCUGAAAUCAAAAAAGCAGUGGAGUGAGUUCCUUUGUGGCUCAAUGGGUUAAGGAUCCAGUGUUGUCCCUGAGCUACUCAAGUCACUGAUGUGGCUUGGGUUCAAUCCCUGGCCCAGGAACUUCUACAUGACAUGCAGGUGUGGCCAAAAACAAAGAAAAAAUUUUUUAAAGAAAAAGCAGUAAAUACAGUGCCUCUCAAGACUGCACCACCCUCCUUGAGGGCAGACACAAGGGUGAAGUGUCUGGGAGGGAGGGUCACUGCUCAUGGUCUAAGUGAAAGCAGGGGCAGAGGAGUACCCGUUAUGGCUCAGUGGGUUAAGAACCUGACCAGUAUCCAUGAAGAUUCAGGUUCAAUCCCUGGCCUCGCUCAGUGGGUUAAGGAUCUGGCAUUGCUAUGAGCUGUGGUGUAGCUCACAGAUGCGCCCGGGAUCCCACAUUGCUGUGGCUGCGGCGUAGGCUGGCAGCUGCAGUUCUGAUUUGACCCCCAACCUGGGAACUUCCAUAGGCCAUGGGUGCGGCCCU
RNAcentral lists this long non-coding RNA (7629 nucleotides) under Sus scrofa (pig). Its description in RNAcentral is "lncRNA (ENSSSCG00000062962.1)". Lineage: Eukaryota; Metazoa; Chordata; Mammalia; Artiodactyla; Suidae. The record is from RNAcentral.